GCUCCGUUGGUGAACCAGCGGAGGGAUCAUUACUGGAAUCGCAAGAUCCCACAACCCUGUGAACCUACCGAAACGUUGCCUCGGCGGGUGCCCGGCCCCCGCGCCGGGCGCUGCGCCCGCCGGCGGCCCCCUACUCUGUCUCUGCAGCGUGGCAUCUCAGAGUCCCAGAAAACAAGUCAAAACUUUCAACAACGGAUCUCUUGGCUCUA
RNAcentral lists this unclassified non-coding RNA (209 nucleotides) under plant metagenome. Its description in RNAcentral is "partial contains small subunit ribosomal RNA, internal transcribed spacer 1, and 5.8S ribosomal RNA". The record is from RNAcentral.